This 28-nucleotide non-coding RNA is filed under the name Bombyx mori (domestic silkworm). Lineage: Eukaryota; Metazoa; Arthropoda; Insecta; Lepidoptera; Bombycidae. The record is from RNAcentral.
UUCCAGAGUAUGUACUGUACCUACCGGC